UACAGAGGUGGCAAGCGUUGUUCGGAAUUACUGUGCGUAAAGGGCGCGUAGGCGGCCUGAUAAGUCGGGGGUGAAAGCCUGUGGCUCAACCACAGAAUUGCCUUCGAUACUGUUAGGCUUGAGACCGGAAGAGGUAAGUGGAACUGCGAGUGUAGAGGUGAAAUUCGUAGAUAUUCGCAAGAACACCAGUGGCGAAGGCGGCUUACUGGUCCGGUUCUGACGCUGAGGCGCGAAAGCGUGGGGAGCAAACAGG
This 253-nucleotide ribosomal RNA is filed under the name uncultured bacterium. Its description in RNAcentral is "partial 16S ribosomal RNA". It matches the Rfam family "Bacterial small subunit ribosomal RNA", at positions 524 to 776 of the family's 1533-position model. The record is from RNAcentral.